This 393-nucleotide ribosomal RNA is filed under the name uncultured bacterium. RNAcentral's name for it is "partial 16S ribosomal RNA". It matches the Rfam family "Bacterial small subunit ribosomal RNA", at positions 523 to 918 of the family's 1533-position model. The record is from RNAcentral.
AUACGGAGGAUGCGAGCGUUAUCCGGAUUUAUUGGGUUUAAAGGGUGCGUAGGCGGUAGAUUAAGUCAGCGGUGAAAGUUUGUCGCUCAACGAUAAAAUUGCCGUUGAUACUGGUUUACUUGAGUAUAGUUGAAGUAGGCUGAAUGCGUGGUGUAGCGGUGAAAUGCAUAGAUAUCACGCAGAACUCCGAUUGCGAAGGCAGCUUACUAAGUUAUAACUGACACUGAAGCACGAAAGCGUGGGUAUCAAACAGGAUUAGAUACCCUGGUAGUCCACGCAGUAAACGAUGAAUACUCGCUGUUUGCGAUAUACAGUAAGCGGCCAAGCGAAAGCGUUAAGUAUUCCACCUGGGGAGUACGCCGGCAACGGUGAAACUCAAAUGAAUUGGCGGGG